UAGGGAAUAUUGCGCAAUGGGCGAAAGCCUGACGCAGCAAUGCCGCGUGAGUGAGGACGGCCUUCGGGUUGUAAAGCUCUGUCAUAUGGGAAGAACAAGUUGAUGGUUAAUACCCAUCAGCCCUGACGGUACCAUAGAAGGAAGCACCGGCUAACUUCGUGCCAGCAGCCGCGGUAAUACGAAGGGUGCAAGCGUUGUUCGGAUUUAUUGGGCGUAAAGCGCGCGCAGGCGGAUGUGCAAGUCAGAUGUGAAAUCUCGGGGCUCAACCCCGAAACUGCGUCUGAAACUGUUCAUCUAGAAUCAUAUAGGGGGUAGGGGAAUUUCACAUGUAGGGGUAAAAUCCGUAGAGAUGUGAAGGAACACCGGAGGCGAAGGCGCCUACCUGGAUAUGUAUUGACGCUGAGGCGCGAAAGCGUGGGGAGCAAACAGG
This 430-nucleotide ribosomal RNA is filed under the name uncultured bacterium. RNAcentral's name for it is "bacterial SSU rRNA". It matches the Rfam family "Bacterial small subunit ribosomal RNA", at positions 355 to 776 of the family's 1533-position model. The record is from RNAcentral.